CAUGGAUAUGUUGUUAAAGGUUUACCGCCUUGGGAUAGGCUUGCGUCUGAUUAGUUAGUUGGUGUGGUAACGGCACACCAAGGCUACGAUCAGUAACUGGUCUGAGAGGAUGAUCAGUCACACUGGAACUGAGACACGGUCCAGACUCCUACGGGAGGCAGCAGUGAGGAAUAUUGGGCAAUGCUCGAAAGAGUGACCCAGCAACGCCGCGUGGAGGAUGAAGGUAUUCUAUAUCGUAAACUCCUGUGAGAGCAGACGAAAGACAGAAUUAUUAAUCUGGAUGACUGUAUGCUCAGAGGAAGCCCCGGCUAACUACGUG
RNAcentral lists this ribosomal RNA (319 nucleotides) under uncultured bacterium. RNAcentral describes it as "bacterial SSU rRNA". It matches the Rfam family "Bacterial small subunit ribosomal RNA", at positions 188 to 507 of the family's 1533-position model. The record is from RNAcentral.